RNAcentral lists this ribosomal RNA (440 nucleotides) under uncultured Streptococcus sp. RNAcentral describes it as "bacterial SSU rRNA". It matches the Rfam family "Bacterial small subunit ribosomal RNA", at positions 942 to 1382 of the family's 1533-position model. Lineage: Bacteria; Bacillati; Bacillota; Bacilli; Lactobacillales; Streptococcaceae. The record is from RNAcentral.
UGGAUUAAUUCGAUGCAACGCGAAAACCUUACCUACCCUUUGACAUGUCCGGAAUCCCGAAGAGAUUUGGGAGUGCUCGCAAGAGAGCCGGAACACAGGUGCUGCAUGGCUGUCGUCAGCUCGUGUCGUGAGAUGUUGGGUUAAGUCCCGCAACGAGCGCAACCCUUGUCAUUAGUUGCCAUCAUUUGGUUGGGCACUCUAAUGAGACUGCCGGUGACAAACCGGAGGAAGGUGGGAUGACGUCAAAUCAUCAUGCCCCUUAUGACCUGGGCUACACACGUGCUACAAUGGUUGGUACAACGAGUUGCGAGUCGGUGACGGCGAGCUAAUCUCUUAAAGCCAAUCUCAGUUCGGAUUGUAGGCUGCAACUCGCCUACAUGAAGUCGGAAUCGCUAGUAAUCGCGGAUCAGCACGCCGCGGUGAAUACGUUCCCGGGCCUU